CCUACGGGGGGCUGCAGUGAGGAAUAUUGGUCAAUGGACGAGAGUCUGAACCAGCCAAGUAGCGUGAAGGAUGACUGCCCUAUGGGUUGUAAACUUCUUUUAUAUGGGAAUAAAAUGUUCCACGUGUGGGAUUUUGUAUGUACCAUAUGAAUAAGGAUCGGCUAACUCCGUGCCAGCAGCCUCGGUAAUACGGAGGAUCCGAGCGUUAUCCGGAUUUAUUGGGUUUAAAGGGAGCGUAGGUGGAUUGUUAAGUCAGUUGUGAAAGUUUGCGGCUCAACCGUAAAAUUGCAGUUGAAACUGGCAGUCUUGAGUACAGUAGAGGUGGGCGGAAUUCGUGGUGUAGCGGUGAAAUGCUUAGAUAUCACGAAGAACUCCGAUUGCGAAGGCAGUUCACUGGACUGCAACUGACACUGAGGCUCGAAAGUGUGGGUAUCAAACAGGAUUAGAUACCCGUGUAGUC
Molecule: ribosomal RNA, 460 nt
Filed under: uncultured bacterium
Lineage: Bacteria
Description: partial 16S ribosomal RNA
Rfam family: Bacterial small subunit ribosomal RNA
Source: RNAcentral